UAAACACGGAUGUGAAGCUUCUCCUCACUCCAAGCAGCAAUGCGCGCUCAGCGUUCGAUCCAAUGAUCUCGUCUCACGGCGAUUGAAGAUAAAAUUGUCUUGUCUUGUCCAGGGAACGACUUGCCAUGGCUUUGGAUCUCAGAUUUCCAUGAAGUCCCCCUUUCUUUGUGCAGUUGUGCUAGCAAUUUUGGAGCUUGUGGCUAAACAUGGGAGGCCUCUUACUGGGAAGAAAUCUACACUUGACAUCCAGGUUGCUAAGCUACCAGGCUCAACAAUCGAUGUUUGAGGAAGGAUUUUAGUCAAAUGUCAGAUCCUCAGAUGCUGCCGUGCUCCCUUAUCUACGAGCGCCACCAUACCUGAGUGUCUUUGGCAAGUCCUUAUCAUCCUCUCGACAUGAUCUACAGCACCUGCUGCCUGUCACUGAUAGAUGUAAGC
This is a long non-coding RNA of Entelurus aequoreus (snake pipefish), 435 nucleotides long. RefSeq lists it as uncharacterized. The record is from RefSeq and is a predicted model, not a curated record. Lineage: Eukaryota; Metazoa; Chordata; Actinopteri; Syngnathiformes; Syngnathidae. The transcript is spliced from 3 exons.